Molecule: small RNA, 553 nt
Filed under: Pongo abelii (Sumatran orangutan)
Lineage: Eukaryota; Metazoa; Chordata; Mammalia; Primates; Hominidae
Description: processed transcript
Source: RNAcentral
GAUCCCAGGGUCUGAGAGACAGCCAAGAUGAAUAUGGCCUUCCAAGAAGACAUGCUGACAAGAAAAGACUCAGAGUGCCCAGGAGCUUCCCCUUCUUACCAACCCUGCAACCUGGAACCCUAGCCAUACCUCUCCCUGACUGUGGACAGUACAGCCUUUGAGCUGAGCCAAGCUGCUUCCCUGGCGAUUUCCAUAAGAGUACCACUUAUCAGCACCUUGGACAGCAUACAAAUGAUUCUGCGUCUCCAGAAAUUGUCACAGACACCCCAACCUUCAGCUACCACUACCCUGAUCCAUCAGCAUCAAUACCAAGGCAACAUCCUCCACCAGAAAAAGAUUACAACUCAAGCAAAUUCACCUGGGGAUCUGGCAAGAUGGCUGAAUAGCAACAGCUCCGGUCUGCAGCUCCCAGCGAGACCAACACAGAAAGUGGGUGAUUUCUGCAUUUCCAACUGAGGUACCCAGCUCAUCUCACUGGGACUGGUUAGACAGUGGGUGCAGCCCAUGGAGGAUUAGCCAAAGCAGAGUGGGGAAUCACCUAGCCCAGGAAGCU